RNAcentral lists this ribosomal RNA (253 nucleotides) under uncultured bacterium. RNAcentral describes it as "partial 16S ribosomal RNA". It matches the Rfam family "Bacterial small subunit ribosomal RNA", at positions 524 to 776 of the family's 1533-position model. The record is from RNAcentral.
UACGGAGGGAGCUAGCGUUGUUCGGAAUUACUGGGCGUAAAGCGCACGUAGGCGGCUUUGUAAGUUAGAGGUGAAAGCCCGGGGCUCAACCCCGGAAUUGCCUUUAAGGCUGCAUCGCUUGAAUCCAGGAGAGGUGAGUGGAAUUCCGAGUGUAGAGGUGAAAUUCGUAGAUAUUCGGAAGAACACCAGUGGCGAAGGCGGCUCACUGGACUGGUAUUGACGCUGAGGUGCGAAAGCGUGGGGAGCAAACAGG